GAUGAACGCUGGCGGCGUGCCUAAUACAUGCAAGUCGAGCGAACAGAUGAGGAGCUUGCUCCUCUGACGUUAGCGGCGGACGGGCGAGUAACACGUGGAUAACCUACCUAUAAGACUGGGAUAACUUCGGGAAACCGGAGCUAAUACCGGAUAAUAUAUUGAACCGCAUGGUUCAAUAGUGAAAGACGGUUUUGCUGUCACUUAUAGAUGGAUCCGCGCCGCAUUAGCUAGUUGGUAAGGUAACGGCUUACCAAGGCAACGAUGCGUAGCCGACCUGAGAGGGUGAUCGGCCACACUGGAACUGAGACACGGUCCAGACUCCUACGGGAGGCAGCAGUAGGGAAUCUUCCGCAAUGGGCGAAAGCCUGACGGAGCAACGCCGCGUGAGUGAUGAAGGUCUUCGGAUCGUAAAACUCUGUUAUUAGGGAAGAACAAAUGUGUAAGUAACUAUGCACGUCUUGGCGGUACCUAAUCAGAAAGCCACGGCUAACUACGUG
This 497-nucleotide ribosomal RNA is filed under the name uncultured bacterium. RNAcentral's name for it is "partial 16S ribosomal RNA". It matches the Rfam family "Bacterial small subunit ribosomal RNA", at positions 28 to 507 of the family's 1533-position model. The record is from RNAcentral.